ACUAAGGGGCAUACUUAGUACGGCGAGUGAAGCGGUAAAAGCUCAAAUUUGAAAUCUGGUACUUUCAGUGCCCGAGUUGUAAUUUGUAGAAUUUGUCUUUGAUUAGGUCCUUGUCUAUGUUCCUUGGAACAGGACGUCAUAGAGGGUGAGAAUCCCGUUUGGCGAGGAUACCUUUUCUCUGUAAGACUUUUUCGAAGAGUCGAGUUGUUUGGGAAUGCAGCUCAAAGUGGGUGGUAAAUUCCAUCUAAAGCUAAAUAUUGGCGAGAGACCGAUAGCGAACAAGUACAGUGAUGGAAAGAUGAAAAGAACUUUGAAAAGAGAGUGAAAAAGUACGUGAAAUUGUUGAAAGGGAAGGGCAUUUGAUCAGACAUGGUGUUUUUUGCAUGCACUCGCCUCUCGUGGGCUUGGGCCUCUCAAAAAUUUCACUGGGCCAACAUCAAUUCUGGCAGCAGGAUAAAUCAUUAAGAAUGUAGCUACUUCGGUAGUGUUAUAGCUUUUUGGAAUACUGUUAGCCGGGAUUGAGGACUGCGCUUCGGCAAGGAUGUUGGCAUAAUGGUUAAAUGCCGCCCGUCUUGAACCACGGACCA
Molecule: ribosomal RNA, 587 nt
Filed under: Hanseniaspora uvarum
Lineage: Eukaryota; Fungi; Ascomycota; Saccharomycetes; Saccharomycodales; Saccharomycodaceae
Description: partial large subunit ribosomal RNA
Rfam family: Eukaryotic large subunit ribosomal RNA
Source: RNAcentral